RNAcentral lists this ribosomal RNA (468 nucleotides) under uncultured bacterium. Its description in RNAcentral is "partial 16S ribosomal RNA". It matches the Rfam family "Bacterial small subunit ribosomal RNA", at positions 28 to 507 of the family's 1533-position model. The record is from RNAcentral.
GACGAACGCUGGCGGCGUGCUUAACACAUGCCAGUCGAACGGAAAGGCCCUGCUUUUGUGGGGUGCUCGAGUGGCGAACGGGUGAGUAACACGUGAGUAACCUGCCCUUGACUUUGGGAUAACUUCAGGAAACUGGGGCUAAUACCGGAUAGGAGCUCCUGCUGCAUGGUGGGGGUUGGAAAGUUUCGGCGGUUGGGGAUGGACUCGCGGCUUAUCAGCUUGUUGGUGGGGUAGUGGCUUACGAAGGCUUUGACGGGUAGCCGGCCUGAGAGGGUGACCGGGCACAUUGGGACUGAGAUACGGCCCAGACUCCUACGGGAGGCAGCAGUGGGGAAUAUUGCACAAUGGGCGGAAGCCUGAUGCAGCAACGCCGCGUGCGGGAUGACGGCCUUCGGGUUGUAAACCGCUUUCGCCUGUGACGAAGCGUGAGUGACGGUAAUGGGUAAAGAAGCACCGGCUAACUACGUG